UACAGAUCGUGUGAAUCAUCGAAUCUUUGAACGCACUUUGCACCUUGCGGCAUUUGUCACAAGGUAUACUUGUUUGAGUAUCCACAACUCACUCAUCUCCUCUUCGGGGCGAGAUGGACUUGAGAUUCGAUGAGCUCUAGAGCCAUAAGGGCAACCUUAUGACGGCGAGUCGUUUCUUUAAAUGGAGGCCGACCACAAGUGUCUCAGCUGAGAUAUGGUUAUUGGGAUAACAUCCUAACAAUAGCUAUAGGCUUUGACAUGCGAGGCCAUCUUAUCAAGCAGUAUUGACUUUGCAAAAAGUGAUGCUAUUGAUAAUGGCGCAAACCUUCAUUGUAAGAUGUGUUGGUUAGCAGCUACUGAACAAUGGAUCUCAAAUCAAGUAGGGAUACCCGCUGAACUUAAGCAUAUCAAUAAGCGGAGG
Molecule: ribosomal RNA, 421 nt
Filed under: uncultured Pezizales
Lineage: Eukaryota; Fungi; Ascomycota; Pezizomycetes; Pezizales
Description: eukaryotic LSU rRNA
Rfam family: Eukaryotic large subunit ribosomal RNA (bases 366-421)
Source: RNAcentral